Molecule: long non-coding RNA, 1191 nt
Organism: Capsicum annuum
Lineage: Eukaryota; Viridiplantae; Streptophyta; Magnoliopsida; Solanales; Solanaceae
Exons: 2
Source: RefSeq, a predicted model, not a curated record
AAACACACAAAAGGGGAUCAUUCUUGGUCAUCAUCUUCAUCUUUUCUUCUUAAAAAGGGAGGAUAACUUUUCAUUAAGGGAGCACACUGUCACUCCCUACACAGACCCCUCACAAUUCCAUCCCAUCUUCACAAAAUACACCAUACCCACACAUCACACAAAGAAACACCCAUAUCGUCGCACACGGAAUACAAAAAAAAAUUGUCGAUUUCACCGUAAUAUGUGAAUAUCCAAUCGACGAUGACAAAGGGAUAGGGAGAGUAGAGGAAGGAGCACGAUUUUCACGGCGGGUCACUGUUCCGGUGACGUUCAGCUAGAGCUAAGCUUUUUCCGACGAAUCUUUCGCCGGAAUCGGUCAUUGAGUCGGUCGGUUUUAGGUACCGCGGGUUCGAAUUCCGUCCUAGUCCCUGGAUACCAUAAAAUCUCUUAGUUUCCUUGGGUGUUCAGUUGAAAUCUCAUCGGAAAAGGGUAAUUUUGUCGGAAUUCGAUCCGUCUAAACUCACCGGAGCUCUGAUCUAGACGGGUUUUCAGUUUUGUUCUUUUGUAUUUUUGAGCUUUGGGUCAAACUCUGCUUGGAUUGCGGAGUAUUGAGGUCGGAUUGAGUUCGUAUUGAGGUUUUGUUCGAGGUUUCCGGGCGCGGACUCUCUUUAAUUGAAUAACAUAGUUUGAAACCCUCAAUUUCAGGAGCCUGCCUGAAGAACAGGGCGAAUAAAUGGAAAUCCAAGCAACAAAGCGAAGAAGUUAAAAGUCAAGCAACAAGGUGAAGAAGUUGAAAACAAAGCAAUAAGGUGAAAAGAUGAAAGUUAACGGAUUGAAAAAAUAGCAAGUCAGGAGCCCGCCUGAAGAACAGGGUGAAGAAUUGAAAGUUAAGCAAUGAGGUGAAGCAUUUGAAAGCCAAACAACAAGUUGAAGAAAUUUCAAGUCAGGAGUCCGCUUAAAGAACAGGGUGAUGAAGUAGCAAGUCAAGAGUCAAGAAAAGCUGCAUAGAUAGAGUUUUUGUAAUUUCACUUAUGUUUUAAGUAGUAAUUUUCAUUUUUGAUGUAAUGACAGAGCUGUGGACCGAAACCUCGAUGGAACCUCACUCAACUCUCCAACUCGGUAUAGCCCUUCUCCUUCCUUUGGAAGUACCUGUGACGGGUUUCUUUCAUAACUUGGGUAGGUAGGAUGCCCUAAGUCAAGACCUGUUUUCCC